This 468-nucleotide ribosomal RNA is filed under the name uncultured bacterium. RNAcentral's name for it is "partial 16S ribosomal RNA". It matches the Rfam family "Bacterial small subunit ribosomal RNA", at positions 28 to 507 of the family's 1533-position model. The record is from RNAcentral.
GACGAACGCUGGCGGCGUGCUUAACACAUGCAAGUCGAACGGAAAGGCCCUGCUUUUGUGGGGUGCUCGAGUGGCGAACGGGUGAGUAACACGUGAGUAACCUGCCCUUGACUUUGGGAUAACUUCAGGAAACUUGGGCUAAUACCGGAUAGGAGCUCCUGCUGCAUGGUGGGGGUUGGAAAGUUUCGGCGGUUGGGGAUGGACUCGCGGCUUAUCAGCUUGUUGGUGGGGUAGUGGCUUACCAAGGCUUUGACGGGUAGCCGGCCUGAGAGGGUAACAGGCCAAAUUGGGACUGAGAUACGGCACAGACUACUACGGGAGGCAGCGGUGGGGAAGAGUGCACAAUGGGCGGAAGGCUGAUGCAGCAACGCAGCGUGCGGGAUGACGGGCUUCGGGUUGUAAACCGAUUUCGCCUGUGACGAAGCGUGAGUGACGGUAAUGGGUAAAGAAGCACCGGCUAACUACGUG